UUUGACUCUGGAAAUCAAAACAUAAAAAGAAUUAGCUAUGUAUCAAACAAAAAGUUUUUUAGUCCUUUCUUAGUUCAGCCCCAUGUAAUUAGCUCUUGUUCUGCUUGAUGUUGGGUUAGCAAUCCUCAUGAGCACAUCAGCUUUUUAAUUAGAAUCCUGGAAGGUUUUUUUCCCUAGUCCAAUGGUAUGAUAUCCAAAGUUAGAAAACUGUAUUCAGGAGACCUUCC
Molecule: long non-coding RNA, 227 nt
Filed under: Homo sapiens (human)
Lineage: Eukaryota; Metazoa; Chordata; Mammalia; Primates; Hominidae
Description: non-protein coding lnc-SORL1-3:1
Source: RNAcentral